AAAGAAAAUAGAGUCUACAUACUAAGAUCAAUAUAUCUAGAUAGAAGAUCAACCUUGAACAAAAAGUAGUGAACGAGAAGAUUGUCUAUUUUGAUCAUGCAACUUAGCUUUUAUUGAUUUUAUAUUGGUCAAAAAGUACAGGUGUGUGUGUUUCCCCUACAAGGACAUUGAGACUCAAAGACCUUAGUAGGUGUAUAACACAUUUUGGUGGUAAGAAUUUUAUGGUGGCAAAAAUCCAUGUGCAGUGGUUUUUG
Molecule: long non-coding RNA, 254 nt
Filed under: Lathyrus oleraceus (garden pea)
Lineage: Eukaryota; Viridiplantae; Streptophyta; Magnoliopsida; Fabales; Fabaceae
Description: Pisum sativum (pea) long non-coding RNA (PSAT_LNC018348)
Source: RNAcentral